Molecule: long non-coding RNA, 257 nt
Organism: Bubalus bubalis (water buffalo)
Lineage: Eukaryota; Metazoa; Chordata; Mammalia; Artiodactyla; Bovidae
Exons: 3
Source: RefSeq, a predicted model, not a curated record
UUCCUCUGCAGCCUGAAGAAGCUCCUAAGGCGCCUCCUCUUCAGGACCAGGACAAGUCUGAAAACCACUGGUCUAGGAGAUGGCAGGGAAAUCUGUACUGUUCUGCUGCUUUCUGGAAACAAUCAUAAGGAUGAAAAAGGAACUGAACUUUCUGAAAUAGCUACAUAAAACUUCACGGAGGAACCACAAUCAGAACAAGAAGAGGUAAUGUCAGCUGAACACAGAAGAAUUGAUGCUUUUGAACUGUGGUGUUGGAG